Long non-coding RNA from Oryzias melastigma (Indian medaka), 295 nucleotides. RefSeq lists it as uncharacterized. Lineage: Eukaryota; Metazoa; Chordata; Actinopteri; Beloniformes; Adrianichthyidae. The record is from RefSeq and is a predicted model, not a curated record. The transcript has 3 exons.
GCGGAGCUCUGUUCAGUUGUUCUUGAAUCAGGAAAUGAGGAAGUGGAGAGUUUUCCUCCAUGUCAGAGCAGACGGAGCUCCAACUUUCUUCUUCUUCACAGUGAAGGUUGGAAGAAGGUGUGUGUGAGCUGAUCCUCAGUCCAGCAGCAUGGAUCAGUGGGAGGACACACAGGAGGGAGCCCAUCCCUCUUCAAAAAGGAGAGAUGGUAACCAUGACAACCAGAGAAAAGCUCAGAGUCUUUACAGGAACCAACCUGGAUCUGGAUCUGGAUCUGGACCUGAAUCUGAAUCUGAA